Molecule: small nuclear RNA, 108 nt
Organism: Suncus etruscus (white-toothed pygmy shrew)
Lineage: Eukaryota; Metazoa; Chordata; Mammalia; Eulipotyphla; Soricidae
Source: RefSeq, a predicted model, not a curated record
GUGCUUGCUUCGGCAGCACAUCUACUAAAAUUGGAAGGAUACAGAGAAUAUUAGCAUGGCCUCUAUACAAGGAUGACAUGCAAAUUUUUUUUUGUUGGUGUUCUUUUU